GACGAACGCUGGCGGCGUGCUUAACACAUGCAAGUCGAACGGAAAGGCCUGCUUUCCCUUGUGGAUUGCGGGUACUCGAGUGGCGAACGGGUGAGUAACACGUGAGUGAUCUGCCCCCAACUUUGGUAUAAGCCUGGGAAACUGGGUCUAAUUCCCGAUAGGACUGCAGGGUGGUGCCGGUGGUGGAAAACGAUGUUCUAGUGGUUGGGGAUGAGCUCGCGGCCUAUCAGCUUGUUGGUGGGGUAAUGGCCUACCAAGGCGGCGACGGGUAGCCGGCCUGGGAGGGUGGACGGCCGCAUUGGGACUGAGAUACGGCCGAGACUCCUACGGGGGGCAGCAGUGGGGAAUAUUACACAAUGGGCGGAAGCCUGAUGCAGCGAGGCCGCGUGGGGGAUGACGGCCGUCGGGUUGUAAACUCCUUUCGACCGCGAGGAAGCCACCUGGUUGGAAGGGUGGUGACGGUAGUGGUAGAAGAAGCACCGGCUAACUACGUG
Molecule: ribosomal RNA, 494 nt
Filed under: uncultured bacterium
Lineage: Bacteria
Description: partial 16S ribosomal RNA
Rfam family: Bacterial small subunit ribosomal RNA
Source: RNAcentral